This 378-nucleotide transfer-messenger RNA is filed under the name Sulfurimonas hongkongensis. RNAcentral's name for it is "Standard tmRNA". It matches the Rfam family "transfer-messenger RNA". Rfam says of the family: Bacterial tmRNA, also known as 10Sa RNA or SsrA, is named for its dual tRNA and mRNA-like properties. Its role is to liberate the mRNA from a stalled ribosome. Lineage: Bacteria; Pseudomonadati; Campylobacterota; Epsilonproteobacteria; Campylobacterales; Sulfurimonadaceae. The record is from Rfam by way of RNAcentral.
GGGGCUGACCUGGUUUCGACGGGAUCAAGUGGCUUUUAACUGCAUGUCGGACUGAGCACCUCCGCUAUACGGCUCAAACUUGCUUAAACGCAAACAAUACAAAUUAUCGCCCAGCUUUAGCAGUAGCUUAAGUUUUACCCCCUCGCAAGAGGACGGGCUGCUUCACCUAUGGACUCUAGAUAAAUAGGACUCGAAGUAUAACCCUUAUGUAGAUAUAUUUUGCGUCUGCCUCGUGCGCAAAAUGAACCCCAGAGGAUCGUCUUGUGUAGCUUUGCAAGCUGUGCGAAGCAAGAUUAAACUUAAACAACUUUACUAAACAUGUAGACGUUAGGAGUAGCGUGGUUUCGGACUGGAGUUCGAUUCUCCACAGCUCCACCA